CCUACGGGUGGCAGCAGUGGGGAAUAUUGUACAAUGGGGGGAACCCUGAUGCAGCGAUGCCGCGUGAGUGAAGAAGUAUCUCGGUACGUAAAGCUCUAUCAGCAGGGAAGAAAAUGACGGUACCUGUCUAAUAAGCCCCGGCUAACUACGUGCCAGCAGCCGCGGUAAUACGUAGGGGGCAAGCGUUAUCCGGAUUUACUGGGUGUAAAGGGAACGUAGACUGCACUGCAAGUCCGGAGUGAAAGCCCAAGGCUUAACCAUGGGACUGCUCUGGACACUGUGGAGCUUGAGUGCGGGAGAGGCAGGUGGAAUUCCGAGUGUAGCGGUGAAAUGCGUAGAUAUUAGGAGGAACACCGGCGGCGAAGGCGGCCUGCUGGACCGUAACUGACGUUGAGGCUCGAAAGCGUGGGGAGCAAACAGGAUUAGAUACCCCAGUAGUC
Molecule: ribosomal RNA, 440 nt
Filed under: uncultured bacterium
Lineage: Bacteria
Description: partial 16S ribosomal RNA
Rfam family: Bacterial small subunit ribosomal RNA
Source: RNAcentral